UAUCGUUUCCUUUAUUCGUAUCACCGAUUGAAGCAUAUUGGAAGUGUGGGUUGACCUGACUGCACUUGCAUUCAAAGUAGUGAUUAACGUUGUAUGUUCGGCAGUACAACGUUUCAUUAAGUGCCUUGGUUCGUCUUUGUGCUAAAACAAAUACGGUAUCACUAAUUAACCAUCGAGAUUAACGAGUUUUCGAUGACUGUUGAAGUCUUGAGUAAACGAAAGUCGACAGUUAUGGUUUGCAGGGCGGACAUGCCGGAACAUAAAUGCUGGUUAGUUCAUUGUCAUGUCAGCCCGACUUCGGUUGUUGCAUUUUUCGCUGGUAGUGAAACUACACACUGAAAAUUUUGCGCAAGUACUUUUGUUUGCAUAUCAUGGUUUCAUAGCAACUGGGUUUUUCUUUUUAUAGGUGCUUGGACUAUCUUGCAUCGGUGGAUAUGAAAAUAGUGGUAACCUACCCUACGAAACAGCUGUUUGCACAUAAGCUUAACAGUUCCCUGUGAGAUGCUGUGAAAGUCAGCAGGGAAGUGCGAUGUAGAAGAAACGACUGCCAGAAGCUUGCUAAGGAACCGCACAACCUGUGUGGGCAGCAGACAAAAUAUUCAUCAAACGAAGUUUUGCACCAAAGUUAUGAGAGCAGCACAGAUGUUGUUUUAGCGUAAUGGAGUGAUGGAAGUGCUGCGCCAAUCAUGGAGUGCUUAGCAGUCGCCUGCUCGACCAGGUAAGGUCGUGUGUCACGAGAAAACGCCUGUCACAUUGAUGUAUUUUCACAGCGAAAGCUGUUACAUCCUCAUUUCCCUGAGAUCCUGGCAGCGUCCGCUAGAGCCCUGUGCAGAUAAGAUUUUUAGCAUCCGCGUACAUCUUAUCCGAUCCGCACCGUUGCAUACACAACCGUUUAGAUCCGCAAGUUUCGAAGGACGCGUAAACACAGCCGGAAGAAUGUUGGUAUAAUUUCGGAUGCCUCCAUGCUCUCAUGGAAGGACUCAUGGCGACAAGCGAAGGUAAACCUUUCAACAAACGCGAUAUGGAGAGACUUCUGGAACGCUUCCUCACCGGUGCUCGUGUGGACGCCAAAAUGCCUUCUCUCCCGUCUUGGCCGUGCAUGGUCAAAGGUGAACCCGGACAUGUGCUCGCUGUCGGUGCGCAAUACAAAUAAAUUGCUAGUAGAAAAAUUACAGCAUGCGGUAUAUCUGCAUCCGACCUCGAGCCAUCCGAUCCGCACACCGCAGAAAGUGAUAAAUUCUCAUCCGAAUCCGCAAGUAUCUUACGGAUAUCCGCUUCCAUCCGCGGAUGGUGCAGGGCUCUAGCGUCCACAUCAGGUAGUGACGCGCAAACAGAUUUUCAGCUGUUGCUGCAAUUUGUGUUGUGUAGCUGUAACAGUUCUGUGAUUUUUGUACGUGCAGCUUCUUUUCUUUGUGUCUCUCAGAUCAGUGUUGAUACAGCUUUUGCUCUUAUGUGGCCAGACAAGCAUCCCGUGAAAGAGUGUGCAUAGCCACUAAACAAACUAGUUAGAACUAGCAGGCUACAUAAUGCUUUCUGACAUGUUUUGUUCUAUUUUCUAGCCACAGUGAGUCAUUGGAGGCAGUGCUGCAGCACCAACAAUCACUCAUUAGAAGAAAGGAAUGAGGUGGCCAUCAACACCCUGCUGCCAGUUCAACACUCCUCAGUCAAAACACAAGAUGCCUGCUUGGCGGCAAAGUCAAUCCAGUUUUAGACAAGAGUUUUGUACCGUAGACUUCGUGUGUGGUUUACUGCAAAUAAAUGUUUAUGCUGA
Molecule: long non-coding RNA, 1771 nt
Organism: Ornithodoros turicata
Lineage: Eukaryota; Metazoa; Arthropoda; Arachnida; Ixodida; Argasidae
Exons: 3
Source: RefSeq, a predicted model, not a curated record